This 443-nucleotide ribosomal RNA is filed under the name uncultured bacterium. Its description in RNAcentral is "partial 16S ribosomal RNA". It matches the Rfam family "Bacterial small subunit ribosomal RNA", at positions 338 to 795 of the family's 1533-position model. The record is from RNAcentral.
CCUACGGGAGGCAGCAGUGGGGAAUAUUGGGCAAUGGGCGCAAGCCUGACCCAGCAACGCCGCGUGAAGGAAGAAGGCUUUCGGGUUGUAAACUUCUUUUAUCAGGGACGAAGCAAGUGACGGUACCUGAUGAAUAAGCCACGGCUAACUACGUGCCAGCAGCCGCGGUAAUACGUAGGUGGCAAGCGUUAUCCGGAUUUACUGGGUGUAAAGGGCGUGUAGGCGGGAGUGCAAGUCAGAUGUGAAAACUAUGGGCUCAACCCAUAGCCUGCAUUUGAAACUGUACUUCUUGAGUUCUGGAGAGGCAAUCGGAAUUCCGAGUGUAGCGGUGAAAUGCGUAGAUAUACGGAGGAACACCAGUGGCGAAGGCGGCCUGCUGGACGACAACUGACGGUGGGGCGCGAAAGCGUGGGGAGCAAACAGGAUUAGAUACCCCAGUAGUC